AGGAUUUAAAAAACAACAAACAAAAAAUGUGAGUCAGUAUCUUCUCACAACUGCAGCUGAUUUCCUGUGUAAACGAAGACCAUGUGAUGUUCCAUAAACGCUUCCAGCUCCAAAUUACAGGAAAUGAAAACCAUCGUGGAAGAGGGAAGGGUCCAGAACCCAUUUCCAGUGCAAUAGCAUCGCAGCGACAUUUCGGUGGGAGGCACGUACCUGAAGGCUGCCUCUCCCUAGGCCUGUUUCCCAAGAGGGCAUGCGACACACACGACUGUGUGCUUCAAGCCAUGUACUACAAGUCGUGAUGGCCUACCCGUCACGUCUCAGCACCGAAGAAUGCCAGCGAUCUGAUCACAUGGUUGGUACGAACUGUCCUAAGCCUGCCUUUGAGCAUCCUAGGAGCACUUUCCUGAUGCUUAAACCAAGGCUUUCAAUUCCUGAUCCGGAACUGAUCCCGGUUCCGGGGCUUCGGAGUUUAGGCCUGUCUGCCAGGUUUCAGCGGGGAGCCAAGAGGGCAAACAGAGGCCUGCUGGGUGACCCCCAGGCUUCAGAGAUGCAAGGUUCAGAAUUCUGGCUUGCCUAUGUGGGCCUCUGGCUCGCUGGCUCCUGCUUCUCCAUUUAGAGGGGAGAUAAAUUAAGGCCGGUGCCUCCAACCCUGAGAGAACCAUGGCCUAUAUCAAACAUGAAUAAAACACUGAUUUCAGAGU
This is a long non-coding RNA of Arvicola amphibius (Eurasian water vole), 701 nucleotides long. RefSeq lists it as uncharacterized. NCBI's taxonomy places the organism in Eukaryota, Metazoa, Chordata, Mammalia, Rodentia, Cricetidae. The transcript has 2 exons. The record is from RefSeq and is a predicted model, not a curated record.